GACGAACGCUGGCGGCGUGCUUAACACAUGCAAGUCGAACGGAAAGGCCCUGCUUUUGUGGGGUGCUCGAGUGGCGAACGGGUGAGUAACACGUGAGUAACCUGCCCUUGACUUUGGGAUAACUUCAGGAAACUGGGGCUAAUACCGGAUAGGAGCUCCUGCUGCAUGGUGGGGGUUGGAAAGUUUCGGCGGUUGGGGAUGGACUCGCGGCUUAUCAGCUUGUUGGUGGGGUAGUGGCUUACCAAGGCUUUGACGGGUAGCCGGCCUGAGAGGGUGACCGGCCAAAUGGGGCAGGGGAAAGGGCCAAGACCCCGAGGGGGGGGAGGGGGGGGGAAAUUGGCAAAAGGGGGGGAAGGCUGAGGCAGCAACGCCGGGUGGGGGAUGAGGGCCUUGGGGUGUAAAACCGUUUUCGCCUGGGACGAAGGGGGGGGGAGGGGAAUGGGGAAAGAAGCACCGGAAAAUUACGG
RNAcentral lists this ribosomal RNA (467 nucleotides) under uncultured bacterium. Its description in RNAcentral is "partial 16S ribosomal RNA". It matches the Rfam family "Bacterial small subunit ribosomal RNA", at positions 28 to 506 of the family's 1533-position model. The record is from RNAcentral.